UUGGAGACGUGGGAGGCGGGGGUGUCGGUGUGCGGUGGUGGAGGAGCCUCCGGCCGGCUCGCCCGUCUAUCCCGUGAGCUGGAAGCCGGCUCUGUUGGCGUCGACGUCAGAAUUGGUCCCCGUCCAAGGGGGCAGUGCGGCUCCGGCACUGCUGGGGCACACCCUGGGGCCCCGCCGUGCCGGCCCUGGUCUCCUUGCACAGCUACUGGCCACCGUGGGUGCUGCAGCUUUGGGGGAUUCUGCUCUCCAAAAGCACCGCCCCCUAGCGGCUGCCUCGCUGUGUUCCGAGGCUUUCAUCCGGGUGUGCGAGCUGCCGGCCUGCCCCAGACAAGGUGGGCCGUCCUCGCCCUCCCGGGGCUCGCAGCCUCCGUCUGCUCCAGGGUGUUUGUCUUAGGGCCACGCUGGACAAAGGAUGGUGGCUGUGAAGAAAUCGUGUGGAGCUGGCAGCCGGGGAGCAGGCCCUGGAAGGGAGCCAGGUCUGCGAGGCUGGCCCCCAAAACCUGCAGACACUGCUGGGGAGCUCACCGGGGCUGGCUGUUGCAGGAUACAUGUCUUGGUCCUUUCGUUAACUUUAUUCCAAAGUAUUCUUUUCGAUGCUAGACGCCUCUCAUUUCACCUCCUUGCCUAUUUCCUGGCUGGCACCUCCUCUACAGUGUAGACAAGGAAUGGGCAGAGUGGACACCCUUGUCUUGUUCCUGAUCUUUUGGGAAAGAACCCACUCUGUCACCGUCAAGUAUGACGCUGGUCUUGAGCUCAUCUGAGUCAGGAAGUUCCUCCUAUUUCCAGAACGCUGAGUAUUUUUUUCAUGAAAGGGUGUCGACGACAUCAGACGAUUGUUCUCUUCCUAUGAGAAGAUGUGGCUUGUGCCCUCAGCUCUGUUCAUAUGCAUUACAUUGGUUUCCAUGUGUGGCUCCUGGAGCAUCUGCCCGGCUCACUGUGUCCCGUUAGACAAAGAUUUCUUUAAAUGUCCAGAACUGAUAAAUCUCCCAGUUUUUGCCGUGGAACUCUGUAUGUUGAGUUCACAGUCACUACUUGGCCAGGAAUCGGCGACUCUGCCUUAGCCUUCACUUCCUUCUCAAGGUUGGAUAUAAGCUUGGAGCUUGGAGCCUCCUCGGGUCUCUUCCAGGCGUGCACACAGCUCUACACACACACACACUCACACACACACACACACACAGCCUUCUCGAGUCUCGGAAAUAUGCUGGAGCCUUACAAAGCCCGUGGAGACAUCUCCACCUGCUCUGCUGCUGUCAGCUGCCGGUUAGCACAGAGUUUGUCUCAAUGGGUGUUCAUUGUUGCAGGAAGCCAGAAAGCUAAUCAAUUAUCCCAGUUAUCCCUAGUUAUUUUCAACAAACACUGGACUUUUCACACUGGGCAAGUUUCAAGCAAGGUCAGAUAAAGACAGGCUUGCAAGCUCAGUCAUCCAGGGACCCACGGAUGAGCCGGGCAAAGGCAGUCCUCGGGAAUGAGGCUCUGAGGGGCUCCGCCACCCGUCAGAGCCUGCCCAGCUGCUGGCUUUCAAGGCUAACUGCAGAGCAGGGACUUGGAAAUGUGUCAAGUUCAAGUUCAAGUGCCAUGGACUCGCUAUUCUGAGGGAGAGUCCUGUGUUUUUCCUGAAUGCACGCUCUCCAGAUUGCUGCAAGCCUCUGGUUUGUUUCCAGGGUUCUGAAAUGGUUGAAUCUGGUGUUUUUGCCAGUUCUUCUCAUGACUUUGAUGGAAUAGAGAGUUUCCCACUCUUGCUGACACCCGAGAGUUUUCUUUUAUUCUCAGUAAAUGAAUCUGAAUAGCCACCUGUGAUUGUGGUACAAAGUCUCCCUUUUUAAAUUUAUGCACAUAAAAAGUGAGUCGAGGAAGCCAAUAUGGAAAGAUUCUGCACUGGUUGGUCCCAAGUACAGGACAAUCUGGAAAAAAACUGAAACGGUAAGGACAGUGGAAAAUCAGCGUCGGCAGGGGUUCGAGGGCAGGGUUAGGGAUGAAUGGGGGGCACAGGGCAUUUUGUAGGGUGCUGGAACUGUUUAAUCAGAUACUGCAAUGGGGGCUGCAUAGCACUGGGUUGUCAAAAGCCCGGGGCACUGUACCCACCCUCCAGGGUGACCCCCAGCAUAAAGCACCGGCAUUAUGGACAACCGUGGAGCGACACUGCGCCAGCAGCUAUGACACGUGACGACACAUGACCCACACUAAUCCAAGACGCUGGCCACAGGGACGCGUGUGCCGGGAGGGAGGGGGCAUGGGAGAACUCCUUGUACUUUCUGUUCAGUUUUUUUUUUUCCUUGUAAAUCUGAAAGUACUUAACAAAGCAGGAUGUGUUAAAACUUUUAAAGGGAGUUGAUUUCAGGAAACAUAUUCUGGGUAAGAGGAUGGCAAAAGGCCUGUGGGAGGUGCGUGGGUGAUUGACACUUAGAAAACAUCUACGAUGUCUGCAAUGCAAGAUAAUGGGGAAAUUUAAAAACAAAACUAUUUUAUUAAUAACUUGAGCCCCAUUGCAGCUGCCUAUGCGCGCCGGGUACAGCUGAUUGUCACCUUCUGCUGUUUCAAAGGUUAAUAGUUACUGGGGAAGAAACAGAAGACAGAAAGACAGAACCUUCUAGAACAUCAAGGCUGACUUUCAGAAAGCUCCCUGGGAGGCGAGAGAGCGAAGGUUUCAGUCGAGACCCUGCGGGCUGUGGGAGCCACGGCUGGGACAGGGGACGCCCUUGGCUGCCCCAGAAAGCUGUAACCACCCAGCACCUGCUGAGGCCACGCUGCCUUUUUUUUUUUAUUUGAAAGUCAGAGUUACACAG
Molecule: non-coding RNA, 2783 nt
Organism: Oryctolagus cuniculus (rabbit)
Lineage: Eukaryota; Metazoa; Chordata; Mammalia; Lagomorpha; Leporidae
Source: RefSeq, a predicted model, not a curated record